UGCUAUAUGUCAGUUGCAUCUCAGUGAAGUUGGGAAAAAAAUAAGCAUCUCAUUCUUUUACCAGGACAACCUGUGCAGAGGAGUAAGUUGCUGAUGAUCAAACUUAAGGCUGUUUUAACACAUGAAACAGUGAUGAAAUCCUAGAGGGUGUAUUUCAACAGCCAUGGUCCCCUCUACCACUUGCAUUCCUUUAAGUUCAUGUGAGAAAGAGGAUGAGAGUCUGGUGAGAGUGCAGUCAGUCUGGGAGAGUCAAAUGCAGUUUUUUCUUCUAGGUAGAUGGGGCCCUGGAUAAUUGGACCCAGGUGCCUGGAAGAGAGGCCACAAAGCUUUCAAGGUAUAAUCAAGCCUACUUAAGAUUAUAAACAGCACGUGUCCUUUGCUUGUCAGAGCGCUCUCAGCCUCACCUCUGACAGGACUCUCCAGUUCUUUCCCUUCAAACAAAAGUCCUCGCCUCCUCCUGCUGUUUCCACAACCCAGUUCCCAUGACUUUUGUUCUUCCCACUGCUGAAGGGAUUCUGCUUCAAUCCCUUUUCCCAAUCCCAGAAUCAAUCAGAUGCAUCUCCAGUGUCAAGGAUUCCUGGCAGGAGCCCCAAAUGGGCAAGAGUGGAGUCCAGGUCCUCUGCACAGAUGGAGUUGGCCCUUGGCGGCCCUGCACAACACAAGAUCACGGCAGGGCCACGAUCUUGGCUAACUCCACAGUGGCUGUCAAGCUCGCAGUACAAUGCCUGGCAUACUGGAGUUCAAAAAACCACACCAAGGACUCAUCACAGCUGACACCUGACGCUCACAGGUUAAGAACAUGCAAUUUUGAUGAAUCUGCCCAAACUUCAGCACCCAUGAAAUUCAAGUCUUUCAUUUUCUGGAAGCUCAAAUUUGAAUUUCCUCUUUGUGAGGCUAAUCCGUGGGAAAUAGUCAUUGAGCUGAGUCCACUGUUCAAUUUCAAAGCAACUUGGUGUAUUUGGACAGGGAUAUAAACUCUCCUCAGGGGACAGAAGGAACUCCUAACAUUCUCACUUAUACCCUGCUGUAAUUUCUGGAGGAAAUUAUAUGCUAUGCAGUGGUCCCCAAACUUUUGACCCCAGGGACCGGUUUCGUGGAAGACAACUUUUCCACAGAUCAGGCGGAGGGGGAUGGUUUUGGGAUGAUUCAAGUACAUUCUAUUUAUUGUGCUCUGUCCAUGGAAUUCUCCAGGCAAGAGUACUAGAGUGGGUAGCCAUUCCCUUCUCCAGCGGAUCUUCCCGACGCAGGGAUCAAACCUGGAUCUCCUGCACUGCAGACAGAUUCUUUACCAUGUGAGCAUCAGGAAAGCCCUGACUAACUUUUAUUUCCAUUAUUAUUACAUCAGCUCCACCUCAGAUCAUCAAGUGUUAGAUCCCGGAAGUUGGGGAUCCCUGCUAUAGAGGCUAGGAACCCAGGAGGAGCCUGGGAGCCCAGCAGGCAGCAAGCACAGUGUGCAUUUGGGGAUGGAGUGACCCUGCCGUGAUCUGUGCAUGAGGAGGGAAGGACACUCCUGAGCAGCCAUAAACUGCUAGGGCUUAGCUGCUAACCUCUACGAUCUCAAACCAUGAAAAGUCUUUGUGUCUCUCACUCUCCCACCUCUCUCCCACCUGUGCCGAUGCUGGACUGCCUCUGGAUCCCAUCUGUGAACUUUAGUCCCUUGAUAUUCCCCAUCUCAGUUCAUCUGAUACAUGACCUUCCCGAAGUAAGAGGCCAUGGUCAGCAAAUAAGUGGCCUCUCUGGCCUCAUCCACGCCCUUACCUCAACGCUUCUGCUUGCAUAUGCCCAACCUUGCUCAGCGGCACUGUCUUCUUUAGAUUCCUGCUCCUGUCACUUAUGCAACCUACAGAAAGCCUGGGCUUCCCCAGUGGCUUAUCAGGUAAAGAAGCCACCUGCAAUGAAUGACACACAGAGAUGCAAGUUCGAUCCCUGGGUCAGGAAGAUCCCCUGAAGAAGGAAAUGGCAACCUGCUCCAGUAUUCUUGCCUGGAAAAUUCCAUGUACAGAGGAGCCUGGCAGGCUACAGUCUAAAUGGUCACAAAAGUCAGACAGGACUGAGUGACUAAGUACACAAACACACAGAAAGCCCAGACUGCUUAGUUCCAUUACACAGGAUGCUUUCCAAUCUCUCAGGAGCCCUUUCUACUUCUAAAUUAUCUUUCUAAUUUGCUCCUAUUGAAAUAAGUCAAUGUAUGCAAAGGGCCUAAAGAACUGAAGAGCCUCCUGAUGUCAGUGAAAGAGGAGAGUGCAAAAGUUGCCUUAAAGCUCAACAUUCAGAAAAUUAAGAUAAUGGCAUCCAGUCCCAUUACUUCACGGCAAAUAGACAGGUAAACAGUGGAAACAGUGACAGACUUUAUUUUGGGGGCUCCAAAAUCACUGCAGAUGGUGAUUGCAGCCAUGAA
Molecule: long non-coding RNA, 2398 nt
Organism: Bos taurus (domestic cattle)
Lineage: Eukaryota; Metazoa; Chordata; Mammalia; Artiodactyla; Bovidae
Source: Ensembl